This 253-nucleotide ribosomal RNA is filed under the name uncultured bacterium. Its description in RNAcentral is "partial 16S ribosomal RNA". It matches the Rfam family "Bacterial small subunit ribosomal RNA", at positions 524 to 776 of the family's 1533-position model. The record is from RNAcentral.
UACGUAGGUGGCAAGCGUUGUCCGGAUUUACGGGGCGUAAAGAGCGCGCAGGCGGUCGUGCAAGUCGCGUGUGAAAGCCCCCGGCUCAACUGGGGAGGGUCACGCGAUACUGCUCGACUCGAAGGCAGGAGAGGGAAGUGGAAUUCCCGGUGUAGUGGUGAAAUGCGUAGAUAUCGGGAGGAACACCAGUGGCGAAGGCGACUUCCUGGCCUGUUCUUGACGCUGAGGCGCGAGAGCUAGGGUAGCAAACGGG